GACGAACGCUGGCGGCGUGCUUAACACAUGCAAGUCGAACGGAAAGGCCCUGCUUUUGUGGGGUGCUCGAGUGGCGAACGGGUGAGUAACACGUGAGUAACCUGCCCUUGACUUUGGGAUAACUUCAGGAAACUGGGGCUAAUGCCGGAUAGGGGCUCCUGCUGCAUGGUGGGGGUUGGAAAGUUUCGGCGGUUGGGGAUGUACUCGCGGCUUAUCAGCUUUUUGGUGGGGUAGUGGAUUACCAAGGCUUUGACGGGUAGCCGGCAUGAGAGGGUGACCGGCCACAUUGGGACUGAGAUACGGCCCAGACUCCUACGGGAGGCAGCAGUGGGGAAUAUUGCACAAUGGGCGGAAGCCUGAUGCAGCAACGCCGCGUGCGGGAUGACGGCCUUCGGGUUGUAAACCGCUUUCGCCUGUGACGAAGCGUGAGUGACGGUAAUGGGUAAAGAAGCACCGGCUAACUACGUG
RNAcentral lists this ribosomal RNA (468 nucleotides) under uncultured bacterium. RNAcentral's name for it is "partial 16S ribosomal RNA". It matches the Rfam family "Bacterial small subunit ribosomal RNA", at positions 28 to 507 of the family's 1533-position model. The record is from RNAcentral.